AUACUUACCUGGCAGGGAGACACCGCGAUCACAAAGGUGGUUUUCCCAGGGCGAGGUGUACCCACGGCACCCCAGAUGAGCCAACUGUGGCAAUGCCCCCAUAUUCAGGAAACUCUGCUGCACAACUUGUGGUAGUGGGGGACUUGUUGCCCCUCUCCCCUC
Molecule: small nuclear RNA, 162 nt
Organism: Acomys russatus (golden spiny mouse)
Lineage: Eukaryota; Metazoa; Chordata; Mammalia; Rodentia; Muridae
Product: U1 spliceosomal RNA
Exons: 1
Source: RefSeq, a predicted model, not a curated record